CUGCUAUCUGCAGGCAGCCAUCCACACCCUCGUAUCUCCUCCUGGAUACAGGCUCUCAGGGGGCAUUUUAACAGAGGGCCAGGAGGAGACUCCCCAGCACAGAAUUCUGCCCGGUAUUUCCGCUCCCCUUCCAUGGUGAGAGUGCUCUCACUCAGCCCUUUUCAUCUCCCUCUGGAAAACAACCCAGGGCUGGUGGAUGACAAAGUGCCAGACGACAGCACCAGUCUCCCAGCUCCCAGGCCAAAACUACCAGCUGGAUCAUUUUUCCUCAAGCAGUGCAAUAAAUAGCAGAAAGGAAAGAAGAAACCUGCAGAGCUCCUGCCCUGAAAGAGCAGUGCAAGCCCAGCAGCCUCCGGAUGGCUUUAAAUCAAAGGCAAACAAUCUCAGCCUGAUGUCAGCACAGCCCAGUGCCUUCCCCUGCUCUCUCCCAUCCCCUUCUGCUGAAGAGCCAUCAGGUUUCUGAAUAAAGCAGCUCACAGGAAGGCCACUUUACUGGAUUAAGGUGAUUUUAAAUAAUACAUUUGGAGAGUAAUUAGUCCGAGAGUGUGACGCCAAGGAGCCCCGAUUCGUAAUGCUGCCACAGCCCUUUCAGCUGCCUUAUGCAAAAUAAAUUCUCUGUGCUUCCCAAGA
Long non-coding RNA from Calypte anna (Anna's hummingbird), 630 nucleotides. RefSeq lists it as uncharacterized. The transcript has 2 exons. Lineage: Eukaryota; Metazoa; Chordata; Aves; Apodiformes; Trochilidae. The record is from RefSeq and is a predicted model, not a curated record.